This 253-nucleotide ribosomal RNA is filed under the name uncultured bacterium. RNAcentral's name for it is "partial 16S ribosomal RNA". It matches the Rfam family "Bacterial small subunit ribosomal RNA", at positions 524 to 776 of the family's 1533-position model. The record is from RNAcentral.
UACAGAGACUGCAAGCGUUAUUCGGAUUCACUGGGCGUAAAGGGUGCGCAGGCGGCCAAGUGUGUGAGGCGUGAAAGCCCGGAGCUUAACUCCGGAAUUGCACCUCAAACUACAUGGCUAGAGCAUUGGAGAGGGUAGCGGAAUUCACGGUGUAGCAGUGAAAUGCGUAGAUAUCAAGAGGAAUACCAGAGGUGAAGACGGGGUUGCUGGGCUGACACUGACGCUGAUGCGCGAAGCCAGGGGAGCAAACGGG